ACGUGCAAAUCGUUCGUCU
This 19-nucleotide small nuclear RNA is filed under the name Arabidopsis thaliana (thale cress). RNAcentral's name for it is "snRNA_00978". Lineage: Eukaryota; Viridiplantae; Streptophyta; Magnoliopsida; Brassicales; Brassicaceae. The record is from RNAcentral.